This 780-nucleotide ribosomal RNA is filed under the name Saprolegnia sp. Its description in RNAcentral is "partial large subunit ribosomal RNA". Lineage: Eukaryota; Oomycota; Saprolegniomycetes; Saprolegniales; Saprolegniaceae. The record is from RNAcentral.
GUCUCUGCUCAGAUUGCCUGUGAAUACGAUACGCUUUCUUUGAGUCAAGUUGUUUGGGAAUACAGCUCAAAGUAKGUGGUAAAUUCCAUCUAAAGCUAAAUAUUGGUGCGAGACCGAUAGCGAACAAGUACCGUGAGGGAAAGAUGAAAAGAACUUUGAAAAGAGAGUUAAAGAGUACCUGAAACUGUUGAAAGGGAACCGUAUCGUUUCCAGUGUUGUAUCCUGUGCAUAUUUCAUUAGCGGAGCAAUUUGCUGGUGCCCUGUGCAUGGGUGUGACGUCAGAGUCAGUUUGUAUGCUGCGGGAGAUGGUCAGUGAGGAGGUGCGUCACUUCGGUGAAAGUUAUAUCUCGCUGUCUAGUAGCCGUGGUUGAGACUGAGGUGCCUACAACAUGCCUUGGGGUUCAGGGUCGUCUCGUUUUGGUAACUGCUUGGAUAGCUUGCUAUGUUUGUGGUUAAUCGAGGCGAUUGAUGAUGUUGAAAACCUCUGCUGUUCGGGACUCUGGCGAAAUGGAGCGAUACGACCCGUCUUGAAACACGGACCAAGGAGUCUAACAUGUGUGCAAGUAUUAGGGCGUGGAAACCCAAAUGCGUAAUGAAAGUAAAUGCUGCUUAUGCAGCUGUGGUAGGAAAGGGCUGUAAUGGUCCUGGCACUAUCGACCGAUCAUGAGCCUACGGGCGAAAGAUUUGAGUAUGAGCAUAUAUGUUGGUACCCGAAAGAUGGUGAACUAUGCCUGAAUAGGGUGAAGCCAGGGGAAACUCUGGUGGAAGCUCGUAGCGAUU